RNAcentral lists this long non-coding RNA (1421 nucleotides) under Bemisia tabaci. Its description in RNAcentral is "lncRNA ENSSSA1NGG006641". Lineage: Eukaryota; Metazoa; Arthropoda; Insecta; Hemiptera; Aleyrodidae. The record is from RNAcentral.
CGGGCCAAAAAGCCAGGCUAUUAUGUGGACAGGCUGGUUCACUAACAGGGCAUAAUAUAUACGUAUCAACAAAAAAUAAUUUUAGAACAAUACCUUGCAACCAUUUCUUUCUCUUUCAAUGAAGCAGCACCAACAUUAUUGGAAGCUGUUGCUACGACAAUAAAAUAGUUACGAUGAGAGUUAAAGUAUUUUUCCACCAGAGGUAAAACAACCUGAAAACAAAGAGAAAGAGACAAAAAAUGAUGAGCGAGUGGAUAGUUGACUACUGAUCAAGCUUAUUGUAGCUUAUUUUACGAUGAAAUUACUGAAUUUUGUUUGCAAAAUCACCCGAGUGUGAGGGAAGUGAGUCAAGACUCAUUAAAAGAGGACAUUCCUCAACUGAGGUAAUGCACACCAAUUUAGUGAAAGAUUCUCUUUUAUUUCCCAUCAUCCAUUCAUCGCUUGCACCAUAGCAGCAUUAGAAACUUAAAAAAUGAUGGUAUUUAAUGCAUCCCUACUUACAUGAAAUUAAAAUGAAUUCAACUCAUCAUGUUAAAUUGAGGCAAUGGAUGCAAGCGGAUUACUUCUGGGUUGGGAAUUUUUAGAAUUUCUCCUGGUAAUUUAUACUUAAGAGAAAAAUCUCAUCAGUGAUUAUUUAUUGGAAUUUUUUGUUUGGAACAAAAGAAUAUUUGAUAAAAGUUUAAAGGAAAUACAUGCAAUUGCUUCCCUUGCAGUGGAUGAAAUGUUAGGAGAGAUUCUGAAACAAUGAAACCAAGAUGUUUCAUUCCUGCACCUGGCCUCUCCAUUACUGUCACAAAUAGUUACAUACCUUUGAGAAAAAUUUUAUAUCUCUGGAACAAGUUUUAAAACUGCUUCUCCUACUAAAUGUUGCAGAUGGCUUUAGAAGUUUCAUAUUAAUUGAGGCUUUAUCCAUGUAUUGUAUUAAUUUUUCAAGAAGACUAUAUGCGAAUCGCAACUCGCCAGUUUGUACGGCAGCCAGCUGUUCAGCCUCUGAUGUCGCUGUCCCUCGGUUUGGCCUACAGAAAGAAAAGAAACAGAUACAGAGAGUGGCAUUGUGGCUGCUCUUAAAUCCGGCAAAAAGGCUUCCUCAAGAAUUUUGAAGAACAAGUCUUGCUGCUCAAUACCAUAGACACGUUCCAGAAACAGCACCACACUUUGCUUGUGACCAGGAAUCAAUCCAGAUGGCAUGUCACUCUUUGGUCUUUCUUCACCAGCGGCAGGAUUUUGAAGCGUGAAUCGCAAACUUAAGACACCCAGUAGAUCUUCCAAGGGCACUAAUGAACGCAAAAUUGCUCUUGCUCGGAGAGACUCAUUCUUCCCCUGCAGAGACGUUAAUGAAAAUUUUAGUAAAUCAUCUCACUUCCUUAGGUAUUGCAUGGGAACUUUGAUUGUAUGAUUGCUGUCUGCACUAAAAGCUUAUA